AAAAAGAUAGUUUAAAAAAAAUUUUCGGUUUCGGCUCGUUUGCUUUUGGUUCAACUCCAAAUCUUUUUA
Molecule: transfer RNA, 69 nt
Filed under: Poliometra prolixa
Lineage: Eukaryota; Metazoa; Echinodermata; Crinoidea; Comatulida; Antedonidae
Description: tRNA-Arg
Rfam family: tRNA
About the family: Transfer RNA (tRNA) molecules are approximately 80 nucleotides in length. Their secondary structure includes four short double-helical elements and three loops (D, anti-codon, and T loops). Further hydrogen bonds mediate the characteristic L-shaped molecular structure. tRNAs have two regions of fundamental functional importance: the anti-codon, which is responsible for specific mRNA codon recognition, and the 3' end, to which the tRNAs corresponding amino acid is attached (by aminoacyl-tRNA synthetases). tRNAs cope with the degeneracy of the genetic code in two manners: having more than one tRNA (with a specific anti-codon) for a particular amino acid; and 'wobble' base-pairing, i.e. permitting non-standard base-pairing at the 3rd anti-codon position.
Source: RNAcentral